CUGGCACGUAGUUAGCCGUCACACCAUGAGAGCCGGGGGACCCGAAGUCGGUAGUCUAACCGCAAGGAGGACGCCGCCGAAGGUAAAACUGGUGAUUGGGGUGAAGUCGUAGCAAGGUAGCCGUAGGAGAACCUGCGGCUGGAUCACCUCCUUU
RNAcentral lists this non-coding RNA (154 nucleotides) under Faecalibacterium duncaniae. RNAcentral describes it as "Faecalibacterium prausnitzii A2-165 Bacterial small subunit ribosomal RNA". It matches the Rfam family "Bacterial small subunit ribosomal RNA", at positions 1380 to 1533 of the family's 1533-position model. Lineage: Bacteria; Bacillati; Bacillota; Clostridia; Eubacteriales; Oscillospiraceae. The record is from Rfam by way of RNAcentral.